Molecule: long non-coding RNA, 1075 nt
Organism: Gallus gallus (chicken)
Lineage: Eukaryota; Metazoa; Chordata; Aves; Galliformes; Phasianidae
Exons: 3
Source: RefSeq, a predicted model, not a curated record
UCCUAAACAAAAUUAAAAGGCAGAGAGGGUUUCUCAGAAACAUGUUCUACCACUGUAAUGUGGUUUCACCACUUCGGUCACAGGCAAAAACCUCCGAGUCCUCAGAAAGUUCACACGGAGGUCAGGGCUCACCUCCACACAGUGCCAUACUGCACAGCAAAGCUACGGCCCGGAGUGCUGAUUCUGGUAAACAUCCCUUCAAAAACACUGUGCCACCGCUGCUGAGCAGUGACCUCCUGUAUGAUCUCCUCCAGGAUCUGGGCAAGUUUUAGCCACGUCGUUGAAACAAAUAAAUGCCGUAGCAAGGGAAAAGGUUACUGUCUAUCUAAUGCAGAGCCCUCUGCAGGAAGAUAAAAAACCAUCCCUGCUCACCAGCACGUUCAAUCUCAGCAAUGAUCAGAGAAGAAGAUUUCUGUACCAACUGACACCCUGAUGUCUGUAAAAAAGGAGAUUUCAUCUGCUUGGAAAGUGAUUGUUUAUAUCCACCUGCACUUCUCCAUCAGAUCAGAGCUGGAUUAUGUCCCUUCUGGGCCAUGGGAGCAGAAUGGCAUCUGCAAGCAGCUCAGGGCUGCUGGUGAGAUCAGCUGCAAGGCUGGACUUGGCUGCUGGCUCCUUUGGGCUGUCUCUCUGACAUGCCCACAAUCACCUCUCCAAAGAUUUGCUCUAAGAAAGAGAGUGAUUGCCAUGGUAUCAAAGGAAAAAAUGUCAUGAACUCAACCAACAUCCUGGCAUCCGGCUUGGCCUAAUCCACCAUGUGCAUACCUGUGUGUGUGCGCGUGACUGCGGCCCAACCACGCUCACAGGAGGAUCACCAAGAGCCACACUGCAUGGCCCAACCACUGCGUCAGGACUUUGCAUGUGGUUGGCCUGUGCUCAGGGCCUCAUCUCCCAUCUGCAGGUGUGAAACCACAGACCUUCUCUGGGAAAACUGCUCACACAAACAGCACCGGCCUCCCCUUGGCUGACCGUCUGGAGAUACAAAAGUCUGCUUUCACGUCUCCCCAGAGCCCUUCUUCUCCAGGCUAAACAGCCCCAGCUCUCUCAGCCUGUCCUCAUAGCAGAAACUUCCCUUUGG